AGGAAGCAAGGUAACAUUAACUGUGAAGAGACUUUUGGACCUAAAGUACUUCGACUUCGAGAGUUAUCGUUCUUCGUUUCUCCAUUAUUGGGGUUUAAUCGUACCUAUCGACCAUUGUUUAGAAAAAGUCUAAGUAACAAGAAUAAAAUGAACAAGCUUCCAUCAAGAAAAGUAUAUGUUGGCAAUUUACCUGAUAAUUGUGACAAAGAAAAUCUCCAAAAAUUGUUUGAGAGUGUUGGCAAGAUUGCAGAAUUUGACGUUGUGAAGAACUUUGGAUUUGUUCAUUUUGAGACAGAGGAAGGAGCAAAGCGAGCCGUUGAUGAACUAAAUGACACAGAAUUUGAAGGAAUGGUAAUCAAGGUUGAGCUUUCUCGAAGUAAAGUACGACAUAAGCCUGGAAUGGGUGACAUGACUGAGUGCUACAGAUGUGGCAAAGAUGGCCACUGGUCCAAGGACUGUCCCAAAGCUGGUCUGAAGUCUGUUCACAGUAGAGGGAGAGGCAGAGGAAGGGGAGGACCACCAAGGCCAGCAGAGCCAUAUGGCCCACCUGCUUUUAGAGAUCCAUAUGCUGAUCCAUAUGCUGACCCAUAUUUAAGAAACCGCUACUUUCCUUCUGGAUAUGACCGUUACCAUCCAUAUGGGGAUCCUUAUGACCGCAGACCUGCACCAUACAGAGAUCCUUACUAUGAAAGAGACCCUUAUGCACGACCCUCAGUUGACUACUAUGAUAGACUUGCAGCAAGGGAUCCCUAUUAUGAUUACUAUGCAAGAAGAAGAUAGCUGAGUGGCUAGAGCACUGGCAUCUGAAUCUGGAGGUGCACCUGCUUGAUACAUGUGUAGCACAGCGAAAUUCCUCAGUCGACCCAGCUGUUGGGAACGGGUAUCUGAUUCCAUAGAGGGUUGGGGAAGGUAAGGCAGAGAGAGAGAAGCUGGCCAUGAGAAGAGUCUCCUAACAUCCCAACAACCAACGAAAAAAGGAGGAUGGCCUUUACUACCUCCUUUUUUGUGUAUGUAACCAUGCACAGACAGAAAAUGCAGACAAUCUGACCACACAUUUCACCUGCCAGCCUUUAUGUAGAAGAAUUUAAAGUUUAAGCUGACAGGGAGAGAGUAUUCAAUCAAAGACAUACACUGCAUGCAUCAAAUUAAGGAGGAAAAUGGAGAAUAAAAUGAUAAGGGCCCUGAGUGAAGAUGGAUAUUGUUUGCUUACUAGUAGAAUAAUAGGUGAUUCUUCAUGCAGCAGUUCAAGAGAAACAGGUUGGUAUCCUUGCAGUGUUGGUGUACGAUUUAAUGUGAUGAGUGAACCUAUUGUUUUACAUUUUCUUUUUUCAAAAUAUGGACCUACUAUCAAUGUUAACACUAUGAGUAAUAUUGGGCUUCAAUAACUCAGCAAGCCAUUACCUAAACAUUUUAGCUUAACCAUCUUUCAAUGAUAUAAGGUGAAUACAGUAGUUGGUCUUCAGUCAUUUAAGGCUUUAGUCUGUAUACCAUUUUAUAUCUGAGGCACUGAAGGCAUGUCUUCGGACUGUCCACAUUUCUAGGCACAUCAAAGCUGUAGAUAUUUUGCUCAAGUUUCUAGGGCCAUAUCUUAACAAGUGAUAGCUAUCUGCACACAUCUACCUCACAUCAUGUGUUGUAAUGAAAAUUUCUGAUCAAAGGUUUAACGCUUGUCCUUUUUUUGUCAGGAUCUGGCCAACUGACAAAUUUAAACUAAUUCCAUUUAAUUCACCAAUCCAGUGGGCUAAAAUCGUUUGGGUGCCUGCUGCUUCUUGUUUUCUGGGGAUUUUUUGUUUUACGUUUCUUACAUCUUUGCUGCUUCAUAAAAUUUUGUCCAUGUACUUUUUUACAUUGUGAGGUAAUAUUAAAACUAUCAUUAACCAAACUGUCACUUGUUGAAAAAUUUAUUUUACCUUUGAAAAAUAACUGUGUUUUUGACAGUACACAGAUAUGAAGAAAACCAGCUGACUGAUGAUCAGUAGUGUUUUGCUUCAAACCUCAUUCAGGCAAAGUUGAUAUCUGUGCUAGCAUCGACACAUGAUGGCUGCACUUCAGGCAUAUUUAUGCUAGUGCAUGUUUGAAAGAGAGUACAGCAUGAAGAAAGCUACAUUGGCAGUUUUGAGCAUGAGAAGCAUUGCUCACAACUCAGCAGGAAGAUGCUACAUGUUUUCUGUCACUGCCCCCACCCACCCUCCAAAAAGUGCAGUAAUUAUGGCACUGACGAUUGUUGUGGAGUCCACUGCACUUGCUCAAAUGAAGCACCAUUCACUUCAGCUCAUGAGAUGUGGCAAUAAACACUUAUUGAGACUGAAAUUAAAGGUCUUGAUGACCAUUCUUACAUUAUAGCAAUGUUUCAAAUAGCAUAUCUGUGGAACAUGCUACCAUGAUCUAAAAUUACUUUCAGUAACAGAUGUCUUUUAAUUCUCUGUCAGUUUGUUGUAUUUGGACAAUCAUUGAUGUUCAUGUUAUCAGUAUUUUUUUUUUAAAUGGUCUCAUCUAGAAACUUCCACUUAAAGGCAGAACUUCAGACCAUAGGAAGAGAAUGGUUUCAUCUGUGCAAGGAAAGGUAGAAGUACAUGUGGUGCUGACAACUAGUGAUCAGUCAUCUCCAAUUACUACCCUGCAGGUGCUCCAUUUUCCCUCGCCUAGGCGAAACCAUUUUAAAAACUGCCCACAAGAAGUUCUGCCUUUAAGCUUUUAUGAUGAAAUAUGUCAAAUAAAGCAGUUUAUCAGGUCAGUUUGAAUUCAAAGAAUAUUUCAAAGGUUGAGAGAGAUAUGUUGUAUCUGGUUCACUUGAUGGCUUAUUAAAAAAUGUCAUCCUG
This 2819-nucleotide unclassified non-coding RNA is filed under the name Pomacea canaliculata. Its description in RNAcentral is "rNA-binding protein 4.1-like, transcript variant X6". Lineage: Eukaryota; Metazoa; Mollusca; Gastropoda; Architaenioglossa; Ampullariidae. The record is from RNAcentral.